CAGAAUAAUAGAUUUUCUAGGCUCUUCAAUCCUCAAUGUCUGCAGAGGUCAACGUGGGGCCUGGCCAAAGUCAGGAAUCCCACCCAGAUCUCUCAUUUGGGUAGCGGGAUCCCAAGAACUUGGACUAUCAUCAGCUACUUCCUAGUGCAUUAGUAGGGAGAAGAAUUUUAAGCAGAAUAUUUGGGACUUGAAUUGGCACUCCAAUAUGGAAUGUCAGUGUUCCAAGUGGGAGCCUAACCACUGCACCACAACACCCACUCCUACUGAUACAAAUAUUUAUCCCUUCAAAAAUGUUUACAGAAACAUGUUUGAAGAAGUAUCUAGACACUGGGACCUAGCCAAGUUGACUGGUGAAAUUAACCACCACAGAUAAUUUUUAUAGCUUCCAAGACACAGGAGAAUGUUUUACAGAAAAUACAGCUAUUUGGUUGAAUCAACUGCUUUGCAGUGCAUUCUUUCUCCUAUAAUUGUUUGUGGCUUGAAAAUUCAGAUAUAUUCUGAAAAUGUCUUCAGACUCCUCCAAAGAGAGGUUUAUUUAACUAUACAGGAAUUUCACUUGGCUUGGAAUUAAUUCAGUCAGCCGAAGUUACACAGGAUAUUGGAAUAGCAGCCAGUACUUGGAAUCUCAACUCAUUCAGCACCCUGCCUCCAAACACCCAGGAAGAGAUUUCAGACUCCUGUUUGCUGCCCUGCCCAGAGACUGAUCAUUGCCACCUUCUGCCCUGGUGGGGCCUGGGACAGACUCAGAGAAGACAGAGAGGGUGUGCUGCAUCACCAGGUGGGGUCAGGGCACCUGUGAGAGUCUGCACUUGCUCUGUGAGUAUGCUCAUACCUGAAAGAAUGCAUCUUUGAAUAGAAAAUCAAAAAGCACCAAAGACAGGUUAAGAGAGAAAGAUGGUAGAGAAAAGAAAAAAGCUCCCCCCGCCAUUGAUAUUUAAACAAAUCGCAUUACUUUUUAAAAAUAUUUAUUUAUUUAUUUGAAAGACAGAGUUAUACACAGAGAGAGGAGAGAAAGAGAGAGAGAGAGAGAGAGGUCUUCCAUCCAAUGGUUCACUUCCCAAUUGGCCACAACAGUCGGAGCUGAGCCGAUCCAAAGCCAGGAGUCAGGAGCUUCUUCCUCCAGGUCUCCCACGCGGGUGCAGGGGCGCAAGGACUUGGACCAUCUUCCACUGCUUUCCUGGGCCAUGGCAGAGAGCUGGGUCAGAAGUGGAGCAGCCGGGUCUGAAACUGGCAUCCAUAUGGGAUGCCGGCGCUACAGACCAGGGCGUUAACCCACUGCACC
This 1282-nucleotide long non-coding RNA is filed under the name Oryctolagus cuniculus (rabbit). RNAcentral describes it as "lncRNA (ENSOCUG00000036814.1)". The record is from RNAcentral. Lineage: Eukaryota; Metazoa; Chordata; Mammalia; Lagomorpha; Leporidae.